GACGAACCGUCCGAACGUUGUUCGGAAUCACUGGGCGUAAAGGGCGUGUAGGCGGUCAGGUAAGUGGAAUGUGAAAUCCCUCGGCUCACCCGAGGACCUGCAUCCCAAACUGCCUGGCUUGAGUAUGGGAGAGGAUGAGGGAAUUCCUGGUGUAGCGGUGAAAUGCGUAGAUAUCAGGAGGAACACCGGUGGCGAAGGCGGGUCUCUGGGCAAUAACUGACGCUGAGGAGCGAAAGCGUGGGGAGCGAACAGG
This 253-nucleotide ribosomal RNA is filed under the name uncultured bacterium. RNAcentral describes it as "partial 16S ribosomal RNA". It matches the Rfam family "Bacterial small subunit ribosomal RNA", at positions 524 to 776 of the family's 1533-position model. The record is from RNAcentral.